This 305-nucleotide long non-coding RNA is filed under the name Canis lupus familiaris (dog). RNAcentral describes it as "lncRNA (ENSCAFG00000045565.2, ENSCAFG00845017952.1)". Lineage: Eukaryota; Metazoa; Chordata; Mammalia; Carnivora; Canidae. The record is from RNAcentral.
AUGUCACAAUGGCAGGGGAAGGCCAGGGAGCAAGAAAUUCACCUACUAAUUGUUGAAAGGCAGUGCAGAGCAUGGCUGAAGAUGAAGGCUUGCAGCCAGACCACCUGGACAUGCUGUAGCUCCUCCUGUGGCUUCCUCAAGAGUGGAAUUGGUGUGCCUCACGGCUUCAGCAGUGUCAUGGAAAAAGUGAUGACCUUACAUUCAUAAGUCUCCAGGUCCUAGUCCUGCUACCUACUAUGUGUUUGACCUUGGGUAAGUCAUAGCCUCCUUGUGCUUGAUCUUUCUCAUCUGUAAAAUUUUAUAAU